RNAcentral lists this ribosomal RNA (440 nucleotides) under uncultured bacterium. Its description in RNAcentral is "bacterial SSU rRNA". It matches the Rfam family "Bacterial small subunit ribosomal RNA", at positions 338 to 795 of the family's 1533-position model. The record is from RNAcentral.
CCUACGGGGGGCAGCAGUGGGGAAUAUUGCACAAUGGGCGAAAGCCUGAUGCAGCAACGCCGCGUGAGCGAUGAAGGUCUUCGGGUCGUAAAGCUCUGUCCUAAGGGAAGAAUACUGACGGUACCUUAGGAGGAAGGCCCGGCUAACUACGUGCCAGCAGCCGCGGUAAUACGUAGGGGGCUAGCGUUAUCCGGAAUUACUGGGCGUAAAGGGUGCGUAGGCGGCGCUUCAAGUCAGAUGUGAAAGGUUACGGCUCAACCGUAGUAAGCCUUUGAAACUGUAGGGCUGGAGUGCAGGAGAGGAGGGUGGUAUUCCCAGUGUAGCGGUGAAAUGCGUAGAUAGUGGGGGGAAGACCAGUUGCGAAGGCGGCUCUCUGGACUGUAACUGACGCUGAGGUACGAAAGUGUGGAGAGCGAACAGGAUUAGAUACCCCAGUAGAC